Dreissena polymorpha is the source of this 1714-nucleotide long non-coding RNA. RefSeq lists it as uncharacterized. NCBI's taxonomy places the organism in Eukaryota, Metazoa, Mollusca, Bivalvia, Myida, Dreissenidae. The transcript is spliced from 6 exons. The record is from RefSeq and is a predicted model, not a curated record.
CGACCCCUCCCCUGACACCUAGCUCCUCCACUUUUGACCUCCGGCCUCAAAGGGUCAGCAUCAUUGAAAAAUUCCGUCCAGCAAAAAAUUAUGAGCACAUAGAGUUUUCACACAUUAAUCUCAGCAACUGCAAUGUCAGUGUUGAGUGAUCCACACUUGAGCCUGAUUGGUUUGUUAGACUCGAGAGCUGCAGGUGAAACAAGUAUUACAGACAUUAGGAGUUAUUACUGCAGUUAUGGUAACACUAACAGUCAGUUAUUGCUGUUGAACAUCACAACGAAUAAUACAAAGUUGGAUAACUUGUUUCAUUCUUUUUGGGACAAACAGAACAACAGCAAGGAACAGGAGAAAAUCAAGGAAUAUUUGAAGAGUUUAAGUCAGAAGCGUACGCUUUCCGGCGGGGAUACUGGACAAUCCCGGUUUGUCCUCUCAGGUGUCCAAACUGUCCAAAGAGAAGGAACUUUUGACGCAGUUGCUAACAAAGAAAGGCAGCACCAACUUCGUUGUGAACACUCAGAGCAACCAUGGCCAUGCCUCAGGCGGGAAGUCCGACCAACAGCUGAAACAAGGUGCUAAAGUUGAACCCAUCAGGGUUUGUAACUUCCCACUCCAAUCCUAAACAGCCUGGCAUUGAAUCGGAGAUAGAGAAGGUGUUGAAGAAAGAUAGCAGUUUUGAUGCGUCAUCCAGUAUGACCUUUGAACGCGACGUUCGUUCGUUCGUUAGAACUCAAACUCGGCCCUUAGCAAUUUCAGCGAGGCUAGCAUGUGGUCUCAGCUUCUUGAGCUUCAGAAAACAUUAUAAGCAAACAAGACAAACAUCAUGAAUGUUUAGGCAAUCCCAAUCCACUGAUACUACAACUUGCUCAGGAAAUUCAGCACGCCACCUUUUAACAUCUUCUCACAAGGCGCUAAAUCAACACUUCCAACAGCUGAGCCUUGGACCCCAUGCAAUCACACAUCUGUACACAGCGGAACAACAAGAGGCUCUCUGGUCAGCUGGGCCUGGACGCCCGGCGACAAUUCCUGGGUGUAGGUGGUGAGCUCUUGGGUCAGGAAUUUGGGGCAAAGCUCAAGGAGGCUCCAACUUCCCUUCUCAGGGGCCGAGAUUACCUCAUCUACAAGAUUGUUAUGCAAAGAGUUUCACAGUCGUUCAAAUAAUUUUUGGUAAGAACAGCAUGUCACUUAACAAGCACCCUACCCUGAAAACCUCCCUGAGCUAAUGAACAGUUCAACUGCGCCAAACGUGACCCUUAAGAGAAAUGAGAUUCCAAGAAAUGUCAAACCGGUAGCAAUCUAGGCUCCAUUAGCAGCCUCAGUCGUGGGGAACUGGUUCAUGAUGUAUCCGUGGUCUUAAUGAUCUCUGAACAUCUCAACAACACAGCAACAGUAGAGCAACAUGAACUGCAAGCUGUGAAUGGUCAGUGUCCAGCUGUAUCCUAGCAACCAAGCCACACCAGCACAUCAGAAAAAAAAACAACAGCAGCAGCAGUUUGGACAACAUAUCAAUGAAUGUGGCUCCAUUCCCAGAAAAACACGCCAAGAUAAUGAGCAGUGUCAUUGCGCCAAACAUGAUCCUUCAAGUAUACUUGGAGCCCAAUGUCGCUUCAACAGCGGUCGCCAAGCCUGAGCCUUGUGAGCUCAGGGGGAGGGGUCAUGAUGCACAUGGGCUUGCAACUUUCCCCAGGCUUCUCUCAGUAGCAGUGGAACAACAUGG